Molecule: long non-coding RNA, 553 nt
Filed under: Vulpes vulpes (red fox)
Lineage: Eukaryota; Metazoa; Chordata; Mammalia; Carnivora; Canidae
Description: lncRNA (ENSVVUG00000020941.1)
Source: RNAcentral
AUGGAGACCAGACGGCCCGCAGGCCGUGCAGGCGGCGCGUUUGCGGGCCCUUCGGCGGGCGUCCACGCAGGGGCGCCCCGGAGCACCUGCCUGAGGGCUGCGGAGAGCGUGGUCCCGGCCCACAGGUGGCCGCCUCCUCCACGCCACCCCUCCACGCGCCGCUGGGUGCAGAGGCGCGGCGACUCGGCUGGAGCAAGCAGCUGGCUUGCGGGGCAUCGCACCCCGGCCCGGGCUCUCAGCCUCCCCACUAGCUGGCGGGGCCCGGACUGGCUCCUGAAGUUCCCCCGGCUUCAGAUUCUUCAGCCGCAGUGUUGGGAUGAUCUCAGUGCUCUCUGCAAGUAUUAUAGUGGAUUGCAAAUAAAUGCUCUGAUUGCUUCCAUCUACUCAGAACUCAAAAGAGUUAGUAACGUGAAUGAGAAUGUUGGUCAACAGAAACACUCAAUAAGAAAAGUUGGCUGUUACUCAACGAGCAAUGGAGAGUGUCAUAUGCAAAGUUUCCCUUUGUGAGCAUAUUUCAAAUAAAGAAAUCUGGAAGUGUCUGUGAUGAAAAUUG